ACGCUAGCUACAGGCUUAACACAUGCAAGUCGAGGGGCAGCAUGUUGGCUGCUUGCAACCAAUGAUGGCGACCGGCGCACGGGUGAGUAACGCGUAUCCAACCUACCCAAUACUCAGGCAUAACCUGUUGAAAGACGGACUAAUUCCUGAUGGUAUGUAUUUUUCUCAUGAAUUAUACGUUAAAGAAUUUCGGUAUUGGAUGGGGAUGCGUCUGAUUAGUUUGUUGGUGAGGUAACGGCUCACCAAGACUUCGAUCAGUAGGGGUUCUGAGAGGAAGGUCCCCCACAUUGGAACUGAGACACGGUCCAAACUCCUACGGGAGGCAGCAGUGAGGAAUAUUGGUCAAUGGAUGGAAAUCUGAACCAGCCAAGUAGCGUGCAGGAUGACGGCCCUAUGGGUUGUAAACUGCUUUUAUGUGAGAAUAAAGUUAGGUAUGUAUACUUAUUUGCAUGUAUCACAUGAAUAAGGACCGGCUAAUUCCGUGCCAGCAGCCGCGGUAAUACGGAAGGUCCAGGCGUUAUCCGGAUUUAUUGGGUUUAAAGGGUGCGUAGGCCGUUUGAUAAGCGUGCUGUGAAAUAUAGUGGCUCAACCUCUAUCGUGCAGCGCGAACUGUUGAACUUGAGUGCGUAGUAGGUAGGCGGAAUUCGUGGUGUAGCGGUGAAAUGCUUAGAUAUCACGAAGAACUCCGAUUGCGAAGGCAGCUUACCGUAACGUUACUGACGCUUAAGCACGAAGGUGCGGGUAUCGAACAGGAUUAGAUACCCUGGUAGUCCGCACAGUAAACGAUGGAUGCUCGCUGUUGGCCUUUAAUGGUCAGUGGCUUAGCGAAAGCGUUAGGCAUCCCACCUGGGGAGUACGCCGGCAACGGUGAAACUCAAAGGAAUUGACGGGGGCCCGCACAAGCGGAGGAACAUGUGGUUUAAUUCGAUGAUAC
This 934-nucleotide ribosomal RNA is filed under the name uncultured bacterium. Its description in RNAcentral is "bacterial SSU rRNA". It matches the Rfam family "Bacterial small subunit ribosomal RNA", at positions 33 to 960 of the family's 1533-position model. The record is from RNAcentral.